GCACUAGUAGCUCAGUUUCAGAGCGCCGGUCUUGUAAGCCGGAUGUCAGGGGUUAGAGCCCCCUCUAAUGCU
RNAcentral lists this transfer RNA (72 nucleotides) under Macrorhamphosodes uradoi (trumpetsnout). RNAcentral's name for it is "tRNA-Thr". It matches the Rfam family "tRNA". Rfam says of the family: Transfer RNA (tRNA) molecules are approximately 80 nucleotides in length. Their secondary structure includes four short double-helical elements and three loops (D, anti-codon, and T loops). The record is from RNAcentral. Lineage: Eukaryota; Metazoa; Chordata; Actinopteri; Tetraodontiformes; Triacanthodidae.